RNAcentral lists this ribosomal RNA (1500 nucleotides) under metagenome. RNAcentral describes it as "bacterial SSU rRNA". It matches the Rfam family "Bacterial small subunit ribosomal RNA". The record is from RNAcentral.
AGAGUUUGAUCAUGGCUCAGAUUGAACGCUGGCGGCAGGCCUAACACAUGCAAGUCGAACGGUAACAGGAAGCAGCUUGCUGCUUCGCUGACGAGUGGCGGACGGGUGAGUAAUGUCUGGGAAGCUGCCUGAUGGAGGGGGAUAACUACUGGAAACGGUAGCUAAUACCGCAUAAUGUCGCAAGACCAAAGAGGGGGACCUUCGGGCCUCUUGCCAUCGGAUGUGCCCAGAUGGGAUUAGCUUGUUGGUGGGGUAACGGCUCACCAAGGCGACGAUCCCUAGCUGGUCUGAGAGGAUGACCAGCCACACUGGAACUGAGACACGGUCCAGACUCCUACGGGAGGCAGCAGUGGGGAAUAUUGCACAAUGGGCGCAAGCCUGAUGCAGCCAUGCCGCGUGUAUGAAGAAGGCCUUCGGGUUGUAAAGUACUUUCAGCGGGGAGGAAGGGAGUAAAGUUAAUACCUUUGCUCAUUGACGUUGCCCGCAGAAGAAGCACCGGCUAACUCCGUGCCAGCAGCCGCGGUAAUACGGAGGGUGCAAGCGUUAAUCGGAAUUACUGGGCGUAAAGCGCACGCAGGCGGUUUGUUAAGUCAGAUGUGAAAUCCCCGGGCUCAACCUGGGAACUGCAUCUGAUACUGGCAAGCUUGAGUCUCGUAGAGGGGGGUAGAAUUCCAGGUGUAGCGGUGAAAUGCGUAGAGAUCUGGAGGAAUACCGGUGGCGAAGGCGGCCCCCUGGACGAAGACUGACGCUCAGGUGCGAAAGCGUGGGGAGCAAACAGGAUUAGAUACCCUGGUAGUCCACGCCGUAAACGAUGUCGACUUGGAGGUUGUGCCCUUGAGGCGUGGCUUCCGGAGCUAACGCGUUAAGUCGACCGCCUGGGGAGUACGGCCGCAAGGUUAAAACUCAAAUGAAUUGACGGGGGCCCGCACAAGCGGUGGAGCAUGUGGUUUAAUUCGAUGCAACGCGAAGAACCUUACCUGGUCUUGACAUCCACGGAAGUUUUCAGAGAUGAGAAUGUGCCUUCGGGAACCGUGAGACAGGUGCUGCAUGGCUGUCGUCAGCUCGUGUUGUGAAAUGUUGGGUUAAGUCCCGCAACGAGCGCAACCCUUAUCCUUUGUUGCCAGCGGUCCGGCCGGGAACUCAAAGGAGACUGCCAGUGAUAAACUGGAGGAAGGUGGGGAUGACGUCAAGUCAUCAUGGCCCUUACGACCAGGGCUACACACGUGCUACAAUGGCGCAUACAAAGAGAAGCGACCUCGCGAGAGCAAGCGGACCUCAUAAAGUGCGUCGUAGUCCGGAUUGGAGUCUGCAACUCGACUCCAUGAAGUCGGAAUCGCUAGUAAUCGUGGAUCAGAAUGCCACGGUGAAUACGUUCCCGGGCCUUGUACACACCGCCCGUCACACCAUGGGAGUGGGUUGCAAAAGAAGUAGGUAGCUUAACCUUCGGGAGGGCGCUUACCACUUUGUGAUUCAUGACUGGGGUGAAGUCGUAACAAGGUA